CAGAGUCAAAGAUUGUCCUGUAAGCUUUCCCAAAAGCUUGACAUUUCUCUACUGGCGCUGCCGAAUUGGAUCCUUUUUGGAGGCGCAGCUGGAGCCUUCCUCCCAGGAGGCAGCGAAGGCGGUGGCAGCAGAGUGUGGUGCCUCCUCUUUCUCCCCUUGCCCUCCAGGCAGACCAGGACAAACUUCAACCUGAGUAAAGAUGUGACCUGUGGCAUCUGCAUGAAGACGGUGUACGAGAAGACCAGCGCUGGGGAUAGGCGCUUUGGCAUCAUGCCAGAGCUACAGUGUCACCUGGAGAAAAAAACUAAACUUCCAGGAAGAAGUUAUAAAGGGUUUCCAAAAGUGCAGAGUCAAGUCGGCGUUUUACAUCCCCAACAAGUACUGGGUGGAAGGAAAACCAAAGGAAAAUCUUAUCCGUAACUUUAAAGAUAAAUGCAGGUCAGCUUUUACCAUUCUCUCGACCAGAUGUCACUAUGGAUUUCUGGGGUUCUGGCAUCCUAGUUUGAUUGUGGUAAACCUAUGCUCUGUUUCAACUCCAGAAAAUAAGAUGUAGUUUCUUCAUGUGUCAUGGAUGCUGUCCCUUCAAGAUGGAGUGUCUCUGUUGGUAUGACCUGCCUCAAGGCUACAGACCCCAUCGCUGCCACGAUCAUCUUGUGCACCAUGCCAUGAGUCUGGAUGACUUAAACAGCUUCUUGACUGUGUCAUUGUUCUGCCUCUUCUGGAUGACUUAGACAGCUUCUUGACUUUGUCAUUGUUCUGACUCUUCUGGAUGACUUGCUGGAUGAUGACAAUGGUGUUCCCGCUGUACCUGGGUGAAUAUGACAAGUAUGACCUAUUCUAAGCACUGCCACCCUGCCCCAUGGGUUUGGACUGCAAUGGGUUGACUAGGGCCUUUACUUUUGAUUGGAUCCCAGGGUUGUGUGGGUUGUUGCUUGGAGUCAUCCUCUUAGACCUGUGAUUGGCUGUUCUCUUGCUGUUGAUGGGUUUUGGUUCCAUGCAAGUUGAUGGGUUAAUGAAUUAGUUGACUAAUUGAUGUGAUGGUCACCCCACAUUGCCUGGUUCAUCUCUAGGUUUCUUCCUAGGUUUUGGCCUUUCUAGGGAGUUUUUCCUAGCCACCGUGCUUCUACACCUGCAUUGCUUGCUGUUUGGGGUUUUAGGCUGGGUUUUUUUACAGCACUUUGAGA
Non-coding RNA from Oncorhynchus mykiss (rainbow trout), 1184 nucleotides. Lineage: Eukaryota; Metazoa; Chordata; Actinopteri; Salmoniformes; Salmonidae. The record is from RefSeq and is a predicted model, not a curated record.